Molecule: long non-coding RNA, 300 nt
Organism: Pyrus x bretschneideri (Chinese white pear)
Lineage: Eukaryota; Viridiplantae; Streptophyta; Magnoliopsida; Rosales; Rosaceae
Exons: 3
Source: RefSeq, a predicted model, not a curated record
AAGUGAAAACUGGGCAACUACUUCAAGGCGUUGUUAAAGGUGUUGAUAAAAUCUGCAAGGUUGUGUAUUUGAGUUCUGACCAAGAAACCGUAUCAAAAUCUGUGACCAAGGAUAACAAGGGAAUUUCAAUUGAUCUACUCGUUCCAGGCAUGAUUGUUAAUGCUCGUGUGCUAUCCACCCUUGAAAAUGGCGUUAUGUUAUCAUUUAUAACUUACUUUACAGGAACUGUUGAUUUAUUCCAUCUGCAAAAGAGCUGCCCUACCAUAAACUGGAAUGAGGAGUACAAUCAACACAAGAAGG